ACUGCAAAGGGCUAACAGUUCAAGAUCACUGCCACCACUUUCCCAAGAAUAUCUCCGGAGAGAUUGCUCAGGAGACUUGAAGAGGAAUGUAAUAGAAUAAUUAUGCAUGAAGCAUUGAUAAAUGCUCACCAUCUUUAGAGUAGUACAGGUUGUGCUAGAUCUUCAGCUAGACAGAGAACUGAGACUCGAAGAGAGAGAGAACAAGACGAGAGGGAGCGGAGGGAAGAAGGGGAGAAACGGAAAUGGAUGCUCCUGUGUGAAACCAGAAAGGAAAUGACUGGAGAAGAGGUAGCUGCUUGACACAAGUACCAAAAACAAAAACAAAAAA
Long non-coding RNA from Bos indicus x Bos taurus (hybrid cattle), 328 nucleotides. NCBI's taxonomy places the organism in Eukaryota, Metazoa, Chordata, Mammalia, Artiodactyla, Bovidae. The record is from Ensembl.